Non-coding RNA from Mycena maculata, 95 nucleotides. NCBI's taxonomy places the organism in Eukaryota, Fungi, Basidiomycota, Agaricomycetes, Agaricales, Mycenaceae. The record is from the annotation of a GenBank genome assembly.
GCCUCCGUAGAUUAAUGAUAGAUCACCUCAGUACCGUUCUGCGGUCGGCGUAGUCAUCGUCUGAGGGCAUGUGGGUUCGACUCCCGCCGGAGGCA